UUUUUAUUUGAGAGUAAAGGGUGAGAAGUAAAAGUUUAGGGGAAAAAUAAAAAGUUUUGGGAAUAAAAGUUUGAGGGAAAGUAAAUAGGGGGAGUAAAAUUUUGGAGGGAAAAUAUUAAAAAAAAAUUGGAGGGGGGAGGGUUUGGGAUAGAUGGGAGGUGGGAUGGGAAGGAAAUAAAAGUUUUAGGGGAAAAGUGGGAGAGAGUAAAAAUUUUGGGGGAAAAUAAAAGGUUUUGAGGGUUUUUGGGAGUAAAAUUUUGAGAAAAAAUAAAUGGGAGAGUAAAAUUUUGGUGGGAAAUGGAUUUUGGGUAGAUUGGGGGGUUGGGAGGGGAGGGGAGUAAAAGUUUUGGGGGGAAAGUGAGAAGGAGUAAAAGUUUUGAGGGAAAAGUAAAAAGGUUUGGGAGUUCGGGAUAAAAAUGUAAAAUAUUAUAGUUUGAUAUUCGAAUUAUUCGAAUUAUUCGAGUUAU
Molecule: long non-coding RNA, 467 nt
Filed under: Gossypium raimondii (Peruvian cotton)
Lineage: Eukaryota; Viridiplantae; Streptophyta; Magnoliopsida; Malvales; Malvaceae
Description: long non-coding RNA (GRAI_LNC000215)
Source: RNAcentral